AUACGGAGGGUGCAGGCGUUGUUCGGAAUCACUGGGCGUAAAGGGCGCGCAGGCGGUUUGGUAAGUCAGAUGUGAAAGCCCACGGCUCAACCGUGGAAGUGCAUUUGAAACUGUCAGACUUGAGUACUAGAGGGGAAAGUGGAAUUCCCGGUGUAGAGGUGAAAUUCGUAGAUAUCGGGAGGAAUACCGGUGGCGAAGGCGACUUUCUGGCUAGAUACUGACGCUGAGGCGCGAAAGCGUGGGGAGCAAACAGGAUUAGAAACCCUAGUAGUCC
This 274-nucleotide ribosomal RNA is filed under the name uncultured bacterium. Its description in RNAcentral is "partial 16S ribosomal RNA". It matches the Rfam family "Bacterial small subunit ribosomal RNA", at positions 523 to 796 of the family's 1533-position model. The record is from RNAcentral.